CGUCGCGGCGCGGGCGUCGCCGGCGCGCGUGGGGCCGGCGCCGGCAGUACGCUGGGGCGCGUCGUGGAGCUCGGUGGUGGCGCGGGCGCCGGGCGCGGCGCUGGCGCCCAUCGGCUCGGACGUGCGGCGCCGCGCGGAGCCAGAGCGGGCGCUGAGCGGCGCGGGCGACCACUCGCUGUUCUACUUCAACGGCGACGCGUCGCACGCGUGCCGCGACUCGGACUUCUCGUGGCGCCCGCCGCCGCCGCCCGACCGCCCCGCCUUCACGCCCGCCAGAGACUUCCUCGCCCCGGGCGAGGAGCGCGCAGCGGACGGCGGCGGGCUGCGCUCGCUGGGCUCGGUGUGGGGCUCGGCGCUGGAGCCGCGGCCGGCGGCGGCGGCGUGGCUGUGGGGCGGCUACGCCGAGCCGGCGCCGGCGCUGGCGGGCGUGCGGCCGCCGCCCGGCUUCGGCGCGCCGCGGCCCGUGCGGCCCUACGACCCCUUCCGCUCGCUGGCGUCCAUCUGGGCGCCCGGCGCCCUCGACUGGCGCCCCGAGCCCGAGCCCGAGCCCGAACACUAGUCAUCGCCGCACUUCCCUACGACAUUGUCUGUUCAAGACUGAAUUAAACUUACACUAUCUCAAAUGAAUGAUGAACACUAA
This is a long non-coding RNA of Helicoverpa armigera (cotton bollworm), 640 nucleotides long. RefSeq lists it as uncharacterized. NCBI's taxonomy places the organism in Eukaryota, Metazoa, Arthropoda, Insecta, Lepidoptera, Noctuidae. The transcript is spliced from 2 exons. The record is from RefSeq and is a predicted model, not a curated record.